UUUUUGUCGAAUCAGAUAAAUAACCACAUGAUACUUUUCAUAAAUUAAUCAGACGCUUAGUGGAAUAUUGGACUAAAUAAUCGUAAUAUUAUACCAGAUAGAAGAAUCAAACUUAAAAUAAAAUUAAGGAAAAAAAAUUGAAAUCAUCUCUUUUUUCCCCGGACAUUGAUUCAGCACCAAUGCUGGAUAUAAUGCAAAAGAAAAGCUCUACUGCCAAUCUCCACAGCUGGGCUUUGUGUAAGCCGAAACUCAAAAGGCAGGGAGGGAAACAAAACAAAAAUUUGACAUCCUGGGCUUUAUUUGUAGGGGUCGGAGAUGCAGCGGCGGAGAAGAGGGAGGGAGAUCCGGUAGCCAGAAGAAGAUGCAGGGAGAGAAGAGUCUUGUUCUAGGUGGUUGGGUGGAACCUGGUGGUGGUGGUUCAUGUUGGCCGGCGGAGGAGUUGGGUUUUGGGAUUUAUGGGAAGGAGGGGGAAGAACAGAGGGAGGGGAAACGAAGAAGAAGAUGUUCAUCUCAGUCGACGCCGGCGGUGGUCACUGCCAGCCAAUCGCCAUGAGCAACAUCAGGAUCGCAGCCACUCAGAGGAAAAUAAACCGGACUAAUAAUCCACUCCUUUUGGAAUGGUUUAUUAAGAAGGUGUAUACCCGACUAUCGGAUCCGACUGCAUAAAUUAAUCCGGCGACUAUUUAGUACGAGAGGACACCAAACAGCCGGGUCCGUACUAUUAGUCCUAUCCUAUCCCUUAUAGGGUGUGCCACUAAAGGAGGCGUGUGGAAGAAGACGGAGGAUGAGAUCUCAACGCGGCGGUCAUCAAGUACGAGUGGCUCGACCCCUCCAUCAAAAAGGUUUUGUGUGUAGAUUGUGGGAACCGAUUUCGAUUAGGGUUUAUAAUGUAUGGUCGUGCUCGGAUUCGUUUUGGAUGUUCAAAUAUUUGAUUUGCAAUGAGACUGAGUGGACUAGACAAGAGGAUGAGAAGCUUCUGCAUCUUGCUAAGCUCGUGCCGGAACCGUUCUUAGGAGGAGAUAAUCCAGAGAUGCACCCAUCAGAGUUUUAUGGGGUCACUACUAGAAAAAAGGAAAUUCAAACUAUGCCUACUCCUUCUGCAACUCCUGAAGUGCCGGUCUUACAACUAAUAGUGAAAAAAUGGAGCAGCAAAAAAACUUGCAGUAUGGUUUUGGCUGUUUACCACAGCCUAAGAACGAGUAUCAGAUUGUCGUACAACCAGUUCCAGAGGAUGAUGAUGAACCUGAGGAGAAGACUGAAGAAGACAUGUUUGAUAGGCUAGCUAGAGAAGGGGCCGAGGAAGAAGCACGCCAGCAAGCAUUACUUAGAAAGAGAUAAAAAGUAUUGAGAGGGAGCUCCCUAGACCUCGUGUUGCCUAAUUGGGACUCAUCAGAAAUUCCUUGAUAAAAGCAGAUGGAGAUAGGAGUUCAUUUGUUCCUCCUACUCCUAUUGAGCAGGCUGAUGAAAUGGUUAAAGUAGAACUUUUUAGCCUACUAGAGCACGAUAAUGCCAAGUAUCUGCUUACUGAGAAAGUAGACAAACGGAAAAAGGAUGGUCCCAAGCGCAGUGCCAAUGGACCUAGUACUUCUGUCCCUGUGAUAGGAGAUUUUGAUGAAGACGAACUGAAAAAUACUAGCAUGUCUAAUGACUAUAUAGUUCCAUGUUUUUACGAUCCCCGUGUUAUAUGCUGGCUCAUUCAUUGAUAAAGGAAGAUGCAGAAAUUCUUCGUGUUGCGAUGGGGCAUGAAAACGAAUCCCCUGAUGAAUUUUUUGUAGCACACAAAACUUGCCUGAAUGAUCUCAUGUACUUCCCUACUCGUGGCACCUAUGGUCUAUCAAGUGUUGCUGGAAAUAUGGAAGCUUGCAGCUUUACAGAAUGAGUUUGACAAUGUGAAGAAGAAGAUGGAUGAUGAUAUCCAGAAGGCAGCAAGCAUUGAGAACAAGGUUAAAGUCCACACAUAUGGUUAUGAGGUAUGCUUGCUGAAUCUUUUGAUUAUAGGAACGUUCCUUUUUGUCGUUGUUAGAACAAGGGCUUUGGGUGCAUCUUUUUCAAACAUGCUAUGCUGAUUUCUUGGUUUUUUAUUCCAACUUGAGCUUAUAUUCUUGGGUCCUUUUUAGAGUGAAAGUGGGGCUUUAUAUUAUUAAGUUUUAGAACCUAAAUUAAGAUAAAUUUGAGCAGCACUUUUGAAAAUUUGAGCAUUGUUCAAGAUUCAUAUGCACCUCUUGUAAUAUAAAGUUAUAUCUCUCCUAAUCUACGAGACUCGUACUUUAAACAGUUAUUCAAAGAAAUAAUGCUGGACGUUGGACUCCUUAUAUUUGACCUUUGGCAUUGAAUAAGAUUCAUCGCCAUCUGAUGUUUCACAGGCUGCAAAACAUUGACUUAUAGAGUUGCUACAUAGAAAAGGGAAAUGAUAUCCGCACACCCAUUCUCCUUGGGCACACCUUUUAUUUCUGUCCUUUGAUUCUCCUCUGAUUCAUUCAAUCAAAGGGCGGACUUUAUAAGUGAGCGCAAGAGGAGAAAAAAGUUGUGUUGCAAUCACUUCCCAAAGAGGAAUACCCUACAUUUAUCUUUGGCUAAUUUCAUCUUUUUUUUAAGGCCAACUUUAUAGAUUAUUAACUUAUUGCAGGUAAGUAGGUGUUGUUUUUGUUUGUUUUCUCUAGAUGUUUUAUUGUUUCCUGAUACAAUUCUUCAACUAUUGUUGGGUUUUUUCUAGGAUGCUUCUAGAUUUAGAAACCACUGUGGCAGAAGUAUUGACAAACCAGGAGCUGCAUGUCACUGUUUAUCAACAGGGGUAAGAACGAUUUUUCUUUUGGGUUUAGUUUCUUUUCAGUGAAUCAAAUCAACUAUAGUAUUAUUCAUCAAUUAUUGUUUCAGUGUACUUUCGCUCAACAUUAUUAUGGUAUCUGAGUACACUACGAAAACAAGUGCUGAGCAAAUUUGCAUGAUACCGUGGCAAAUUUGAAAAGAAAAAUGGAAAAGGAUGUAGGAAUAUCCAUUUCCAAGCAAGUGCUCUCCUUCAAGCAAUGACUCACAUAUUGAAAAUCUGUGAUGAUGAUACGACACAAUGGAGUUCCAACAAGAGGUUUAAACUUAUGCUCAAGGAUAGAUCCCUUGAAACCGUGACCGACACCCUCGAUGGCGUAAAGAGUGAAAUUUCAAAAAGAAUGUUGCUUCUCUCCAAUAGAAAGGAACUGCACUCGAACGCUGAUUACAAAGCUUUGUUGCUUUCGGGCAACGCGGAACUGGAGCUGGUAUUCUCUACGUCACCGACUGCCUCUGCCACCACUUAUGCCGCUUGUUUCAACUUGUAGACACGACAUGGCUUAGUAUGCAGUAGGUUUAGGAAGGCGAUACAGUGUUUGUGGUUCCAAAAGACCUACUGAAACUGAAGGUGAAGUCAAGCUUGACUAGGGGGACCGAUCACGUGCAUGAAGUGAAGGCAGUUGAGGCUGUAGGGAAGCUAAGAGAGAUGUUGCGGAGAAUCGGAGAUGAGAUGUUCCGUCUACCAUCACAACCAUAUGACUUCGAGUACAAAGGUGAACGCAUCAUGGACGAAGGGAAGCCAUUUUACUAGCAUCACAUAGUUGGCGAUGAUGAACUGAUGAUAUAUAUCGUUCCAUCUCUUCUGUGAGUGAAAUGGCCAACUAUGUGAUGCUAGUAAAUGGCUUCCCUUCGUCCAUGAUGCGUUCACCUUUGUACUUGAAGUCAUAUGGUUGUGAUGGUAGAGGAAACAUCUCAUCUUUGAUUCUCCGCAACAUCUCUCUUAGCUUCCUUACAGCCUCGGUUGCCUUCACUUGAUGCACGUGAACGGUCCUCCCAGUCAAGCUUGACUUCACCUUCAGUUUCAAUAGUUCUUUUGGAACCACAAACACCGUAUCGUCAUCCUAAACCCGCUGCAAACUAAGUCAUGUCUUAUCUACAAGCUGAAACAAGUGGCAUAAGUGGUGGCAGGGCCAGUCGGUGAUGUAGAGAAUAUCAGCUCCAGUUCCGCGUUGAUCGAAAGCAACAAAGUUUUGUAAUCAGUGUUCGAGUGUAGUUCCUUUCCAUUGGAGAGAAGCAUCAUUCUUUUUGAAAUUUCACUCUUUACGCCGUCGAGGGUGUCGGUCACGGUUUCAAGGGAUCUAUCCUUGAGCAUAAGUUUAAACCUCUUGUUGGAACUCCAUUGUGCCGUAUCAUCAUCACAGAUUUUCAAUAUGUGAAUGAGAGCACUUGCUUGGAAAUGGAUAUUCCUACAUCCUUUUCCAUUUUUCUUUUCAAAUCUACCACAGUAUCAUGCAAAUUUGCUCAGCACUUGUUUUUGUAGUGUGCUCAAAUACCAUAAUAAUGUUGAGCGAAAGUACGCUGAAACAAUAAUUGAUGAAUAAAUACUAUAGUUGAUUUGAUUCACUGAAAAUAAACUAAACCCAAAAGAAAAAUCGUUCUUACCCCUGUUGAUAAACAGUGCCAUGCAGCUCCUGGUUUGUCGAUACUUGUGCCACAGUUGUUUUUAAAGCAUCCUGAAAAAACCCAAUAAUAGUUGAAGAAUUGUAUCAGGAAACACAAAACAACACCUACUUACCUGAAAUUUGGUUGUAGUCGAGGUGGAAAGGGUACAGCAGCACAUGGAUGAACUCAGAGCAGGAAUUCUGAUCUGGAAUUGGCUGAGGCUGCAGCAAAUGUUACUUCUGCAGACAACUGAAAAUCCUGAUCCUGUAACUGCCUCAGAUGAGCUUUGAAAUGCUGUUCCCAUGGUGAAGCAACAAAUCAUCAAAUGGAUGGUGUGCAAGAACAGGCUUUAACGGGCCCAGAAGGUGAUAUGGACAUUGAUGCCAAAGAGGUUCAUGCAACGCCAGCGGGACGAUGUAAGCUUGCCUGAUAACAUGCCUUCUGCUGUUGAGGGAGAGAACGUUUCCGACAGUGUGCUUGCAUCUGAAAACCUGAAGGUAAAUGAUCCUGAUGUGUCUUAGGAUUGCCACAGAACGUGAUAGAAACUGAAGGCACUGCCCAAGCAGCGGGGGACGAUGGUUUUUCUAACGGGACUGCCACGUAGUGAACUCAGCCUGGUUUGGGUGAUGAAUCAAAAUGUUGGAUCGGAUAACCAGGUGCGAGCUGAUUACAGAUAUGAUAUAGUCAAUUGAAAACCAUAUCCCGAAUCGUUUUCUGGUUUUUUUACGGUGCAACUGUUAUCAGAUUGAGGAACUACAGUGGAACUUGGAAUCUCUUCAUUUUGAGAGUAUCUCUAGGGUCUCUUGGACAUGAACUUCUUACUGAGUCUGCUCCAUAAUAUACUGGCGCACCAUGUUAGAAAAAUUGAUUUUACCUUUUUUUAUUCUUUUCUUCCCACACUUGCUCUCAAUCUAAAGUUUACAAAGUCCAAUUUUCAAUUAAAUUCGUAGAUUGUGGUAGAUAAUCUCAAUCUUGUAUUGUAAUUAUCUCAUUAAUCACGCCAGCGAGGGAUAGAGACGUUUCAGUCUCUCAUUAUGUAAUUCACCAAUGCAACUGUCUAAUACAAUUUGGUUGUCAUUGCUUUAA
Malus domestica (apple) is the source of this 5511-nucleotide non-coding RNA. NCBI's taxonomy places the organism in Eukaryota, Viridiplantae, Streptophyta, Magnoliopsida, Rosales, Rosaceae. The record is from RefSeq and is a predicted model, not a curated record.